Molecule: ribosomal RNA, 404 nt
Filed under: Fusobacteriota bacterium
Lineage: Bacteria; Fusobacteriati; Fusobacteriota
Description: Fusobacteria bacterium partial 16S ribosomal RNA
Rfam family: Bacterial small subunit ribosomal RNA
Source: RNAcentral
UGGGGAAUAUUGCACAAUGGAGGGAACUCUGAUGCAGCGACGCCGCGUGAGUGAUGAAGGACUUCGUUUCGUAAAACUCUGUUCUAUGGGAAGAAAAGGACUGUACCAUAGGAGAAAGCUCCGGCUAAAUACGUGCCAGCAGCCGCGGUAAUACGUAUGGAGCGAGCGUUGUCCGGAAUUAUUGGGCGUAAAGGGUGCGCAGGCGGCUUUACAAGAUGGAUGUGAAAUAUUGUGGCUCAACCACAAACGUGCAUCCAAAACUGCAAAGCUUGAGUUAAGGAGAAGUAAGUGGAAUUCAUGGUGGAGCGGUGGAAUGCGUAGAUAUCAGGAGGAAUACCGGUGGCGAAGGCGACUUACUGGAAUUAAACUGACGCUCAGGCACGAAAGCGUGGGGAGCAAACAGG